This 805-nucleotide ribosomal RNA is filed under the name uncultured archaeon. RNAcentral's name for it is "bacterial SSU rRNA". It matches the Rfam family "Archaeal small subunit ribosomal RNA", at positions 85 to 879 of the family's 1478-position model. The record is from RNAcentral.
ACUGCUCAGUAACACGUAGUCAAUCUGCCCUUAGGACAGAGAUAACCCCGGGAAACUGGGGCUAAUAUCCGAUAGAUGAAAACACCUGGAAUGGUCUUUCAUCGAAUUGUUCUUAGAAACAUGCUUCUAAGUACGCCUAAGGAUGAGACUGCGUCCGAUCAGGCUGUUGGUGAGGUAACGGCCCACCAAACCUAUAACCGGUACGGGCCCUGAAAGGGGUGGCCCGGAGAUGGGAACUGAGACAAGGUCCCAGGCCCUACGGGGCGCAGCAGGCGCGAAAACUCCACAAUGCGCGAAAGCGUGAUGGGGUUAUCCCGAGUGCCUUCCGUAAGGAAAGCUUUUCCUCAGUGUAAGGAGCUGGGGGAAUAAAGGGGGGGCAAGUCUGGUGUCAGCCGCCGCGGUAAUACCAGCUCCCUUAGUGAUAGGGACGAUUAUUUAGCCUAAAGCGUCCGUAGCCGGCUUAGCAAGUCUUUCGUUAAAUCUGACGACUUAAUCGCCAGACCGCGGGAGAUACUGCUAUGCUAGAGGGCGGGAAAGGUUGACGGUAGUCCUUGGGUAGGGGUGAAAUCCUAUAAUCCUAGGAGGACCACCAACGGCGAAGGCAGUCAACUAGAACGCGCCUGACGGUGAUGGACGAAAGCUGGGGGAGCGAACCGGAUUAGACACCCGGGUAGUCCCAGCUGUAAACGAUGCGGGCUAGGUGUUGGGGUAGCUACGUGCUGCUCCAGUGCCGCAGAGAAGUCGUUAAGCCCGCCGCUUGGGAAGUACGGCCGCAGGCUGAACUUAAAGGAUUGGCGGGGAGCAC